GACGAACGCCGGCGGCGUGCUUAACACAUGCAAGUCGAACGGACAGACAGAGAGCUUGCUCUCUUGAAGUUAGUGGCGAACGGGUGAGUAACGCGUAAUCAACCUGCCCUUCAGAGGGGGAUAACAACGGGAAACCGUUGCUAAUACCGCGUACGAUUCAUGAACGGCAUCGUUUAUGAAUGAAAGGUGGCCUCUAUGUAUAAGCUAUCGCUGAAGGAGGGGAUUGCGUCUGAUUAGCUAGUUGGAGGGGUAACGGCCCGCCAAGGCAAUGAUCAGGAGCCGGUCUGAGAGGAUGAACGGCCACAUUGGGACUGAGACACGGCCCAAACUCCUACGGGAGGCAGCAGUGGGGAAUCUUCCGCAAUGGACGAAAGUCUGACGGAGCAACGCCGCGUGAGUGAUGAAGGUCUUCGGAUUGUAAAGCUCUGUUAAUCGGGACGAAAGAGUUCUGCGUGAAUAAUGCAGAAAAGUGACGGUACCGGAAUAGAAAGCCACGGCUAACUACGUGCCAGCCGCCGCAGUAA
This 524-nucleotide ribosomal RNA is filed under the name uncultured bacterium. RNAcentral describes it as "partial 16S ribosomal RNA". It matches the Rfam family "Bacterial small subunit ribosomal RNA", at positions 28 to 523 of the family's 1533-position model. The record is from RNAcentral.